UAAAAGACCAGAGUUUUACUAGA
RNAcentral lists this small nuclear RNA (23 nucleotides) under Arabidopsis thaliana (thale cress). Its description in RNAcentral is "snRNA_16305". Lineage: Eukaryota; Viridiplantae; Streptophyta; Magnoliopsida; Brassicales; Brassicaceae. The record is from RNAcentral.